GUGACUACUUCUGAGGAGAACAUGAGCAGUGAAGAUUCACCUUGGAGCUAGAACAGGGACGUGCACAUGAUUAUACAGGGGCAGGGGCUCAAGUUUUUUCCAGUCAUUUAUACAAUAUGGAAAUUAAUGUGAAAUUAAACCACAAAUAUGUGUGAUGAACUGUUUUUAAAACUUAAACUUCAAAUAAAAAUUGUAAACUUCAAAACAUAUGCAAAUUUUUAACAAAGAACAUAGUAAUUUACCUCUAUUUACAUCAAAAUGCAGGCAAUGGCCCAGGCGUUCUUUGUAAAAUUAUUUACAAAACACUGUAUAGUCUCACAAAUGUCACUUUUUAUUUAUGCCACUACAAAAAAACAUGAUGUAAAUGAUGCAUGAUGUAAAACAUGAUGUAAAAAACUUGUGUAGAUCCUCCUCUAUGUCAGUCCAUGUGUAAUUUUUCCAUAAUUCUUUGUUUUUUGCAGCAUUUUUGUUAGUGUAACUGCAGAUUGUGCUGACAGUGUCUAUGGCAAAAAAAAAAAAACUGAAAAUGCCUCAACAUGAACUCCUGGUGGUCUCUGAGGGUGAAACCUGCUAACUGUGCAGCUCUCUCAGCUCUGGUCUCCCAUGCAGAGCUCGGAGCGCAUGUGUGGCUCUGCACCCUUAGCAGCGUUGCUAACUCCUCAGUAAGGAAAGCCUGCUUCAUGUCAGAGUCUCUAAACUCCAGAGGAAGUCGAUAAAAUUCCCUUUCUUUCUAAAAAGUCGUUAGGGGGUCUGAAAAGUCAUUGAAUCUAACAACAAAGUCGCUAGGUUUGCAACUACGUUUCCCAGACUGCAUCCCUGCUGAGAGUUCCUCCCUCCCUUCUCAUAUUGCAGGAAGAACAUAAGCGCCCGCCCCUUGUCAAUCAGUCACCAUAUAAUUUUGGAUUGGUUGUUGUGGUGAAGUUUUCCACCAAUAGGAGAGAUGUUGUGGUGUGUUUUUUUUUCUUUUGGCAUGCCUUUUCCGCCUGUAAGAGCUGUCGCUAAUGUCUGCAUGCUAUGUUUUCCUGUCUCAUACAGCGUGAUCGAGCGCCGAACGUGAUCAAAAUAAGCAGAAAAAAAGUAUCACGGACAUAAUUUAUCAUAACUCUAGUUUUAUUUGGCCUAUCAACACAAUUUAAAAACUGGUAUAUAGUUUGAGGUCCUCACUUUUGAGAUAAGUUGAAACGGAGGGUGAACGAGGCUCCGUCUUGCAGCUACAUCCGGUUAAAUAUGUCAUGUGACUUGAACGCUGGGGAGCGUCAAUCGACUGCAGAGCCAGCAGACAAAGUAGUUAUGCCACUAAGAGGCACACAUUUGUCAUAUGCUAUAAUCCUAACAUAUUUUAAUGCUUUUUCUAUUUAAACCUAAUGGAUCUAAGGUUUGACCUUCAAAAUUUAGGAAGAAUAUUUUUUUGCAGUAAUGACCCCCUUAAACAACCAGAGGUCCUUUCCUAAAGUUUAUGGAAAUUUUAGUGAAGGCCUUGGUUUCUUUCCUUGCAAAAUGUAUAGAAAUAAUAAAGCUAAAUACCAUAAAAUGGUCUUGGCGUAUUAGCAGUGAUAUAAAAUAGUGGUUUGAAUAUGAAUGAACAACAAAAAAAAACAUCAACAGAGCCUUUUUGAGUUGGGAUUCUUUCAUUAUCACACAAAAACAGACAUAGACAGACAUCUAAAGGGUAAGGGAAUGAUCAGCCCUCCUAACUCUCAGAUGAAUCUUCAAAAUUCACCGCAGAAAUAUGCUUAUUAUUCUUCUCAGAGUACUGCAAGAUAUAUACAAACACACACAGACACAGACACACACACACACACACACACACACACACACACACACACACACACACACACACACACACACUCAGAGUCUGUUUUUUAGCACCUGCAAAAACAUGCUAUUUACAUAUUUGACAAGAAUGCAGAGGCUCCUUUUGCCCCUGAAAAAAAUCAAAUUUCAAACACAACUUGACUGCUCAUUUCUCCAAAAGACAACCAUGAAGCUCCAUCCAAACCUGAAGCAGGCAGUUGGUGCAUGUGUACAGUAACCUGAGGGGAGUGAGGUGACUGCUUCUGAGGAGAACAUGAGCAGUGAAGAUUCACCUUGGAGCUAGAACAGGGACGUGCACAUGAUUAUACAGGGGCAGGGGCUCAAGUUUUUUCCAGUCAUUUAUACAAUAUGGAAAUUAAUGUGAAAUUAAAAAACAAAGUAUUAAUAGAAAGGUAAUGACUGUCCUGUGUAGAUGACAGUGAUAUCCAAUAGGCUAGGCACUCACGAGGCUGGCUGUGGCAAGUGUAAGUGAAAGCAACACGCACUGGCAGGAAGAACAGCAAACGCCGAUGAAGGAAAAGGGUCUUUGCAGUGAUGGGCGUUACCAGAGAGGGCGAUGGCCAGAGGACACGAAUGGGACGGGGAGGCAGCGCGUUGGGGGGGGGGGGGGGCGCGACACGGCUCGGGCCCGCCAGUGC
This is a non-coding RNA of Xyrichtys novacula (pearly razorfish), 2453 nucleotides long. The record is from the annotation of a GenBank genome assembly. Lineage: Eukaryota; Metazoa; Chordata; Actinopteri; Labriformes; Labridae.